CCUACGGGGGGCAGCAGUGGGGAAUAUUGCGCAAUGGGGGCAACCCUGACGCAGCAACGCCGCGUGAUUGAAGAAGUCCUUCGGGAUGUAAAGAUCUAUAAGCAGGGACGAAGAAAUGACGGUACCUGCAGAAUAAGCUCCGGCUAACUACGUGCAGGCAGCCGCGGUAAAACGUAGGGAGCAAGCGGUAUCCGGAUUUACUGGGUGUAAAGGGCGUGUAGGCGGGCCUGUAAGUCAGAAGUGAAAUCUGGGGGCUUAACCCCCAAACUGCUUUGGAAACUGCGGGUCUUGAGUGAUGGAGAGGCAGGCGGAAUUCCCAGUGUAGCGGUGAAAUGCGUAGAUAUUGGGAGGAACACCAGUGGCGAAGGCGGCCUGCUGGACAUUAACUGACGCUGAGGCGCGAAAGCGUGGGGAGCAAACAAGAUUAGAUACCCGGGUAGUC
RNAcentral lists this ribosomal RNA (442 nucleotides) under uncultured bacterium. RNAcentral's name for it is "partial 16S ribosomal RNA". It matches the Rfam family "Bacterial small subunit ribosomal RNA", at positions 338 to 795 of the family's 1533-position model. The record is from RNAcentral.